ACUAUCUCUCUUCUGUGAGGACGCGGCAGAUAUGUUCAGUUCUAAAGAAGGUCCCAGGAGACAAGAGGUUCCUAAGAAGCAUAUAGCUGUGUCUGCAUUUCCACAGAGCUGCUGCCAAGAAUGCGCGUGUGCAGCUGUGUACCUGGGAAUGCUCCAGAUGCACAGAACUCUGCUUUGUAAAGAUUUAUAAGAAAUGCAUCGAAUAUGAACAUGGCAUAUACAUAUGCUUUGAGGAUUGGUCUUUCUGUUUCCUUUGGAAGACUUGAAAUAUGAGAACUAUGCACGGUGAGAGGAUGAAUUACUUUAACUGAUUUCUUUUUGAUAAAUUAACUCAGUGUUGAUUUUUAUUGUUUUGUCUUCUUAUGCAUCUGAUUUUGAAGUUUCAACAGAUCCUCUUGACUCAGUCAACUGAUUCCAUAGGAUUACAGACAGUCAUGAGCCACCACA
Molecule: long non-coding RNA, 447 nt
Organism: Nannospalax galili (Upper Galilee mountains blind mole rat)
Lineage: Eukaryota; Metazoa; Chordata; Mammalia; Rodentia; Spalacidae
Exons: 4
Source: RefSeq, a predicted model, not a curated record